Terrapene triunguis (Three-toed box turtle) is the source of this 510-nucleotide non-coding RNA. NCBI's taxonomy places the organism in Eukaryota, Metazoa, Chordata, Testudines, Emydidae. The record is from the annotation of a RefSeq genome assembly.
AUGAUCUCCCAGGCUCAGCUCCUCUGGCUGUUAGUGCUCUGGAUCCAGGAUUCCAGUGGGCAGAUUGUGCUGACUCAAACUCCAGAAUCCCUGGCAGUGUCUCCAGGAGAGAGAGUCACCAUCAACUGCAAAGCCAGUUCAAGCCUCACCCAUAGCUCUACAGGCAAAGAGCAUUUAGCCUGGUAUCAGCAGAAAUCAGGACGAGCUCCUAAACUCCUUAUUUAUUAUGCUUCCACCCUGCAAUCUGGCAUCCCAGCCCGGUUCAGUGGUAGUAGAUCAGGAAGUGAUUAUACCCUCACCAUCAGCAGGGUUGAAGCUGAAGACGCUGGAGAUUAUUAUUGUCAACAGCACAAGAGCUUCCCUCUCACAGUGAUACAGACCAGCUCCAGUGGGCAGAUUGUGCUGACUCAGACUCUAGAAUCCCUGGCAGUGUCUCCGGGAAACAGAGUCACCAUCAACUGCAAAGCCAGUUCAACUCUUAUCAAUUCAGCCAUUGAGCACUUGGCCUAG